CAGUAGCCGCGGGAAUACGAAGGGUGCAAGCGUUACUCGGAAUUACUGGGCGUAAAGCGUGCGUAGGUGGUGGUUUAAGUCCGUUGUGAAAGCCCUGGGCUCAACCCCGGAACUGCCUUUGAUACUGGAAGUCUUGAGUAUGGUAGAGGUGAGUGGAAUUCCGAGUGUAGAGGUGAAAUUCGUAGAUAUUCGGAGGAACACCAGUGGCGAAGGCGGCUCACUGGACCUGUACUGACGCUCAUGCACGAAAGCGUGGGGAGCAAACAGGAUUAGAUACCCCAGUAGUCCCUGUCUCUUAUAC
This 301-nucleotide ribosomal RNA is filed under the name uncultured bacterium. RNAcentral's name for it is "partial 16S ribosomal RNA". It matches the Rfam family "Bacterial small subunit ribosomal RNA", at positions 509 to 807 of the family's 1533-position model. The record is from RNAcentral.